This 77-nucleotide transfer RNA is filed under the name Candidatus Epulonipiscium sp. Its description in RNAcentral is "tRNA-Met". It matches the Rfam family "tRNA". Rfam says of the family: Transfer RNA (tRNA) molecules are approximately 80 nucleotides in length. Lineage: Bacteria; Bacillati; Bacillota; Clostridia; Lachnospirales; Lachnospiraceae. The record is from RNAcentral.
CGCGGAGUGGAGCAGUAUGGCAGCUCGUCGGGCUCAUAACCCGGAGGUCAGAGGUUCAAAUCCUCUCUCCGCAACCA